UCGGCAUCUGUCAUUAGGUUGUCCAUAAAUUCCCUUAGGAUACGAACGGAACCAGCUUCCAAGUUAUUUUGUCGGAUGAUAUCAUUUACUAUUCGUUUGGUUCUGUUCGACGGGUUAUCAUUUGUUAGUCUCCUCUUCCAAGGUGGUAUUUGAGGUUUAUGAUUUGAUGAUUGCGCCAUCUCUCCUAUCCUCAAUCCGGUAACAUGACAGACAGCAGCAGCGGCGCAGUAGAUUAAAUCACAUGUGUCCUGAAGAGAUAAACUUUGCGGAAGCCUUGGACGACUUAAGAAGUCAACACCACUAUAUUUCAUACGGUACUCUUCAA
Molecule: long non-coding RNA, 325 nt
Organism: Sitophilus oryzae (rice weevil)
Lineage: Eukaryota; Metazoa; Arthropoda; Insecta; Coleoptera; Curculionidae
Exons: 4
Source: RefSeq, a predicted model, not a curated record